CGAAGGGUGCAAGCGUUGCUCGGAAUUAUUGGGCGUAAAGGGUAGGUAGGUGGUAAUAAAAAGUCUGGGGUGAAAUCCCUGAGCUCAACUCAGGACGUGCCUUGGAAACUUUAUUACUAGAGUGCUGGAGAGGUUCGCAGAAUUCCCGGUGUAGCGGUGAAAUGCGUAGAGAUCGGGAGGAAUACCAGAGGCGAAGGCGGCGAACUGGACAGCAACUGACACUCAACUACGAAAGCGUGGGUAGCAAACAGGAUUAGAUACCCUGGUAGUCCACGCUGUAAACGAUCGGUACUAGAGUUCGUGGGAGUUGACCCCUGCGGACUCGGAGCUAACGCGAUAAGUACCGCGCCUGGGAAGUACGGUCGCAAGACUA
This 373-nucleotide ribosomal RNA is filed under the name uncultured organism. RNAcentral describes it as "bacterial SSU rRNA". It matches the Rfam family "Bacterial small subunit ribosomal RNA", at positions 526 to 896 of the family's 1533-position model. The record is from RNAcentral.